GACGAACGCUGGCGGCGUGCUUAACACAUGCAAGUCGAACGUGAUUUUUGUGGAAAUUCUUUCGGGUAUGGACAUGAAAUGAAAGUGGCGAACGGGUGAGUAACACGUGAGCAACCUACCUUACACAGGGGGAUAGCCGUUGGAAACGACGAUUAAUACCGCAUGAGACCACAGAAUCGCAUGAUAUAGGGGUCAAAGAUUUAUCGGUGUAAGAAGGGCUCGAGUCUGAUUAGCUAGUUGGAAGGGUAAAGGCCUACCAAGGCGACGAUCAGUAGCCGGUAUGGGAGGAUGAACGGCAACAUUGGAAGUGAGACACGGUCCAAACUCCUACGGGAGGCAGCAGUGGGGAAUAUUGAACAAUGGGGGGAACCCUGAUGCAGCGACGCCGCGUGAGCGUAGAAGGUGUUAGAAUCGUAAAGCUCUGUCCUAUGAGAAGAUAAUGACGGUAUCAUAGGAGGAAGCCCCGGCUAAAUACGUG
This 478-nucleotide ribosomal RNA is filed under the name uncultured bacterium. RNAcentral describes it as "partial 16S ribosomal RNA". It matches the Rfam family "Bacterial small subunit ribosomal RNA", at positions 28 to 507 of the family's 1533-position model. The record is from RNAcentral.